RNAcentral lists this ribosomal RNA (253 nucleotides) under uncultured bacterium. Its description in RNAcentral is "partial 16S ribosomal RNA". It matches the Rfam family "Bacterial small subunit ribosomal RNA", at positions 524 to 776 of the family's 1533-position model. The record is from RNAcentral.
CACGUAGGGUGCGAGCGUUGUCCGGAAUUAUUGGGCGUAAAGCGCGUGUAGGCGGCCUCUCAAGUCGGGUGUGAAAGCCCGGGGCUCAACCCCGGGAUGCCGCUCGAAACUGGGAGGCUUGAGGACGGAAGAGGGGAGUGGAAUUCCUGGUGUAGCGGUGAAAUGCGUAGAGAUCAGGAGGAACACCCGUGGCGAAGGCGGCUCCCUGGUCCGUUACUGACGCUGAGACGCGAAAGCGCGGGGAGCGAACGGG